UCGGGAAUUUUGGGCAAUGGGCGAAAGCCUGACCCAGCAACGCCGCGUGAAGGAUGAAGUAUUUCGGUAUGUAAACUUCGAAAGAAUGGGAAGAAUCAAUGACGGUACCAUUUAUAAGGUCCGGCUAACUACGUGCCAGCAGCCGCGGUAAUACGUAGGGACCAAGCGUUGUUCGGAUUUACUGGGCGUAAAGGGCGCGUAGGCGGCUUUGUAAGUCACUUGUGAAAUCUCCGGGCUUAACUCGGAACGGCCAAGUGAUACUGCAAAGCUAGAGUGCAGAAGGGGCAAUCGGAAUUCUUGGUGUAGCGGUGAAAUGCGUAGAUAUCAAGAGGAACACCUGAGGUGAAGACGGGUUGCUGGGCUGACACUGACGCUGAGGCGCGAAAGCCAGGGGAGCAAACGGGAUUAGAUACCCCGGUAGUCCUGGCCCUAAACGAUGAAUACUUGGUGUCUGGAGUUAUUAGUGCUCCGGGUGCCGUCGCUAACGUUUUUAGUAUUCCG
Molecule: ribosomal RNA, 501 nt
Filed under: uncultured Acidobacteriota bacterium
Lineage: Bacteria; Pseudomonadati; Acidobacteriota
Description: bacterial SSU rRNA
Rfam family: Bacterial small subunit ribosomal RNA
Source: RNAcentral